Molecule: ribosomal RNA, 460 nt
Filed under: uncultured bacterium
Lineage: Bacteria
Description: partial 16S ribosomal RNA
Rfam family: Bacterial small subunit ribosomal RNA
Source: RNAcentral
CCUACGGGUGGCAGCAGUGAGGAAUAUUGGUCAAUGGACGAAAGUCUGAACCAGCCAUGCCGCGUGCAGGAAGAAGGCUCUAUGAGUUGUAAGCUGCUUUUGUACGAAGGUAAACCUGAAUACGUGUAUUCAGCUGAAAGUACUUUACGAAUAAGGAUCGGCUAACUCCAUGCCAGCAGCCGCGGUAAUACGGAGGAUCCAAGCGUUAUCCGGAUUUAUUGGGUUUAAAGGGUUCGUAGGCGGAUUGAUAAGUUAGAGGUGAAAUGUCCGAGCUUAACCCGGGAACUGCCUUGAAUACUGGUGAUCUAGAGAGUAGAUGCGGUAGGCGGAAUGUAUGGUGUAGCGGUGAAAUGCUUAGAGAUCAGACAGAACACCGAUUGCGAAGGCAGCUUACCAAUCUAUAUCUGACGUUGAGGCACGAAAGCGUGGGGAGCAAACAGGAUUAGAUACCCUUGUAGUC